This 236-nucleotide ribosomal RNA is filed under the name uncultured bacterium. RNAcentral describes it as "partial 16S ribosomal RNA". It matches the Rfam family "Bacterial small subunit ribosomal RNA", at positions 118 to 348 of the family's 1533-position model. The record is from RNAcentral.
UGAGGAACAUGACCUUCGGCGGGGGAUAGCCGGCCCAACGGCCGGGUAAUACCGCGUACGACCACUUGGGGACAUCCUCGAGUGGUGAAAGCAGCAAUGCGCCGAUGGAGUGCCUCGCGGCCUAUCAGCUAGUUGGUGAGGUAACGGCUCACCAAGGCGACGGACGGGUAGCUGGUCUGAGAGGAUGGCCAGCCACAGUUGGGACUGAGACACGGCCCAGACCUCCGUAGGGACGG